RNAcentral lists this ribosomal RNA (256 nucleotides) under uncultured bacterium. RNAcentral's name for it is "partial 16S ribosomal RNA". It matches the Rfam family "Bacterial small subunit ribosomal RNA", at positions 57 to 305 of the family's 1533-position model. The record is from RNAcentral.
GCAAGUCUUGGGAGAAAGUUUCUUCGGAAACGAGUAAACCGGCGCACGGGUGCGUAACACGUGGGUAAUCAACCCUUUAGUCUGGAAUAACUCGCCGAAAGGCGUGCUAAUGCUAGAUGGUUAGAUACUUCCUGAGGGUGGUAUCUAUAAAGACGGUUUCGGCUGUCGCUAGAGGACGAGCCCGCGGCCCAUUAGCUAGUAGGUGGGGUAAUGGCCUACCUAGGCUACGAUGGGUAGCUGGUCUGAGAGGAUGAUC